GUAGAGAGCUGAAUGUACCCGAAGAAUAAGGAUCGGCUAACUCCGUGCCAGCAGCCGCGGUAAUACGGAGGAUCCGAGCGUUAUCCGGAUUUAUUGGGUUUAAAGGGUGCGUAGGCGGCUUUUUAAGUCAGGGGUGAAAUACGGCAGCUCAACUGUCGCAGUGCCUUUGAUACUGAAGAGCUUGAAUGUGGUUGAAGAUGGCGGAAUGAGACAAGUAGCGGUGAAAUGCAUAGAUAUGUCUCAGAACUCCGAUUGCGAAGGCAGCUAUCUAAGCCAUUAUUGACGCUGAUGCACGAAAGCGUGGGGAUCGAACAGGAUUAGAUACCCUGGUAGUCCACGCCCUAAACGAUGAUAACUCGAUGUUGGCGAUACACAGUCAGCGUCCCAGCGAAAGCGUUAAGUUAUCCACCUGGGGAGUACGCCCGCAAGGGUGAAACUCAAAGGAAUUGACGGGGGCCCGCACAAGCGGAGGAGCAUGUGGUUUAAUUCGAUGAUACGCGAGGAACCUUACCCGGGCUUGAAAGUUAGUGACGGAUGCAGAGACGCAUCCUUCCUUCGGGACACGAAACUAGGUGCUGCAUGGCUGUCGUCAGCUCGUGCCGUGAGGUGUUGGGUUAAGUCCCGCAACGAGCGCAACCCCUAUGUUUAGUUGCCAGCACGUAAUGGUGGGGACUCUAGACAGACUGCCUGCGUAAGCAGUGAGGAAGGUGGGGACGACGUCAAGUCAUCAUGGCCCUUACGUCCGGGGCUACACACGUGCUACAAUGGAUGGUACAGCGGGCAGCUACACAGCAAUGUGAUGCCAAUCUCGAAAAGCCAUUCACAGUUCGGAUCGGGGUCUGCAACUCGACCCCGUGAAGUUGGAUUCGCUAGUAAUCGCGUAUCAGCAAUGACGCGGUGAAUACGUUCCCGGGCCUUGUACACACCGCCCGUCAAGCCAUGAAAG
RNAcentral lists this ribosomal RNA (946 nucleotides) under Sphingobacterium sp. RNAcentral's name for it is "bacterial SSU rRNA". It matches the Rfam family "Bacterial small subunit ribosomal RNA", at positions 461 to 1410 of the family's 1533-position model. Lineage: Bacteria; Pseudomonadati; Bacteroidota; Sphingobacteriia; Sphingobacteriales; Sphingobacteriaceae. The record is from RNAcentral.